Molecule: ribosomal RNA, 374 nt
Filed under: uncultured organism
Description: partial 16S ribosomal RNA
Rfam family: Bacterial small subunit ribosomal RNA
Source: RNAcentral
GUAGGUGGCAAGCGUUGUCCGGAAUUAUUGGGCGUAAAGCGCGCGCAGGCGGGGUCCUUUAAGUCUGAUGUGAAAGCCCACGGGCUCAACCGUGGAGGGUCAUUGGAAACUGGGGGACUUGAGUACAGAAGAGGAAAGCGGAAUUCCAAGUGUAGCGGUGAAAUGCGUAGAGAUUUGGAGGAACACCAGUGGCGAAGGCGGCUUUCUGGUCUGUAACUGACGCUGAGGCGCGAAAGCGUGGGGAGCAAACAGGAUUAGAUACCCUGGUAGUCCACGCCGCAAACGAUGAGUGCUAAGUGUUAGGGGGUUUCCGCCCCUUAGUGCUGCAGCUAACGCAUUAAGCACUCCGCCUGGGGAGUACGGCCGCAAGGCUG